Long non-coding RNA from Hydractinia symbiolongicarpus, 6528 nucleotides. RefSeq lists it as uncharacterized. The record is from RefSeq and is a predicted model, not a curated record. Lineage: Eukaryota; Metazoa; Cnidaria; Hydrozoa; Anthoathecata; Hydractiniidae. The transcript is spliced from 2 exons.
UAAUAAUAAUAAUAAUAAUAAUAAUAAUAAUAAUAAUAAUAAUAAUAAUAAUAAUAAUAAUAAUAAGAAUAUGCUUUUUCAUUUUCGGAUAGAUUUGCAUCACUUUUCGGAUAGAUUUGCAUCGUUCGGAUAGACUUGCAUCGGUACCGGAUAGAUUUGCAUCGCUAUCGGAUAGAUUUGCAUCGCUAUCGGAUAGAUUUGCAUCGCUAUCGGAUAGAUUUGCAUCAUUUCCGGCUGCCGUGUAAUUUUUCACAUUUCUAAAAUGGCACCUUGAGUCGUACGACGAGCAAGAGCAGCUAUAUAAACUGCUACUGCUUAUUUAUUUUGGCAAGUAGUACACGAAGGUCAUUAGUUGAUGUGGACUUUUAUAUUAAUAAGCUAAGCCAUACAUAUAUUUGUUUCUGUUCACUGUCAAGUCUUUUCACCUAGCUAGCUAGAGCUAGCUCAUAUAUAUUUCUUUAAUCUCGUGGCUACCCACAAGUUUCUUUAUCUCGUUGGUAAAUGGAAGCAAUUUAUAUUUAUGUUAUGUUAUCCAGCUAGCUGAGCUGUGCCUCUGGCUUUCAGCUCUAGCUGCUGGAUGAGUUUUGCUAGGAAUUGGAAGUGGGUAGGCUGAAUGCUUUAAGAAAUAUAUAGCUAGCUAGCUAGCAAUAUGGCUAGUAAAUGAUACUUCAAUACUAACUAGAGCUAGCUAUAGAGUUAUUCUGUGGCAAUAUAAUGAUGACUGAAACAUUGUUAUCUGUGUAUAGAUUACUUUAAGCCUGCAUACAUUUUGUUGAGCAUACAAUUUUUCAUAAAAUGUGCUUAUAAUCAGUGUAACUAUAGACUUAUUCUUUUAUGUUACCAGUAGAAACCAUCAUAAGUGGGUCAUGUGUACACAAGUUACAGUACCGCUUAAAUGUAUUCUUACGUGUACGCAAAGUUUACAACCUUGCAUAACAACCUCAAAUCUACAUAAUAGAACUUCACAUAGAACCUUCACAUAUCUUUUGUUUACAUACCAACUUAAGGAUACUGUGAGGGUAUAAAUAUAAUUUUUUUACAAAAAAUUUUAUGUGUGAAUCUCACUUUGAACAUUCUACAAGUUCUAGCAAUCACGGUGUGGAUAUUAUCUAAACAAGCUAAAUUAUUCAGCAUACUUUUUAAACUUUUUUCGUAGAUUUAAUGUCGCAAGAAAACCUUUUCCUUGAUCAGUUUUCUUCUAGCGUGUUCUAGAGUCAUUUUUUUUUAUUCUGUUUAAUUUUAAUUUGUUUUGAAAGUUUGUUUGUUUUUUUAUACCAACCGACAUUCAGCACAACAGAUUUUUCUUUAACAGGGUAUAUAAAUAUAUAUAUAUAUAUCUAUUGUAGCAAAGGUCAGGUUGCAAAAAACUCUUUUACGAGGAAUUUUAGAUGUUUGUUUUUCACGAUGUAUACAUGACGUAAAAUGUCAAAACUCCCCUCCACUUUGCACACGAGCUCAUCGAUUCCUGCUGCAAAUGACUGUCACAUUUUAUGUAUAUUUUGAUUAUUUAAAGAAAAAGUGAGGUUAAAACACAAAAGAGCGAGCAAAAUUUCAUUUUUUAACAUUUUUAAAACAGAAAAAAAAAAAAAAAGGCGCGCUUUUUCGAAAAAAUGUGACAAAGUAUUGUUGCUAUGGUAAUGCUAUAGUGAUUGAUUAAUAUGACACAGAAAAAAAAUAAAACGGACAGGGAAAAAAUUCAAAUUUUAUAUUUAUAUAUCCUAUAGACAAUUUAAUUUGCUUUUAUAUUCAAUAAAUAACUUUGAAGAAAAAGAUAAUUUUUGAGAAAUAAUGAAUAUACUGAAUAUGUGUCUAUACCCUUAUAGUAUCCUUAAUUGUUUUCUAUUGUUAUCAUCAUGCGUAAACCGUAACAAUAAGACAUGAUGAAGCCUUUUGUUCUUGUAACAUUUAAGCUAAAAAGCGCUAACGAUCACGAAAGCUAUUGAAAUUUAUGUUUUUUAAAAUAAACGGACAAUAAUUUUUUACCAUGAUUUAGUUUCAAUUGCUAUAUUUUAUAUAUAUAUAACACAAUACAGCGAUCUUAAGCUAUACUUUCUUUGUGUACCGAAAGAUUACGGCACAUUUCUAUUUUUCUAUUUCUUGGUUGUAAAAGCCAAUAAAGUCUAAAAAGGUAUGUUUUUUUGUGUAUAAUUAUCUGGAGUAAUAUUAAUCCACUGUUAAUUUUUGUUUUUGGCGGGUAACUAUUAUUUCACAGAGCAGAGACUGCUUUGGUAAUCUAGGCUUCUAAAGGAAAGCUGAUAAAAUUGAAAGAAAAAAAGCAGUACUUUUGUAAAUGGAAGACUUCUCCGAAAUAUUGUGACGUUUAUAUAUUUACCAUGAAACACUUUAUAGUGACCUCAGCCUGUUAUAAUCUUAUUAUUAUCUUAUAUAUUAAUUCCCUUGCGUGACUAAAACUGUGAGUCCACGACACGGAAAUCACGGGUUACUUUCUUAUGACGUGGCUGUACGCUAAAAUUUAACUAAAAAGAUUAGGGAUGUACUUUAUAGAAAUCGCACAUAAGCUGUAAAUAUAUAACCCGCUGCUAAUAACGAUAUAAAUAUAUAUACCCUUAUGCCAAAAAACUCUAUGUUAGCAUAUAUAUAUAGGUAUCGCUACAUAUGAAACGGUAUUAGAUAUUCACAAAGCAUACGGACUGUUAAAUGAAGUUCCUAGCAUAAAACGGAAAUUGUGUUUACGAAAAAGAUGGCUGUUCUUUUUGAGGAUUCUCUACUCUUUCAUUCAAAAUAAAUCUUUAAAAAAACAUUUGAAGAAGAGCAUGGUUUUAUAAAUUAAUCAUAGCAAGGUUCUGUAAGGUUUUUUCAUGUUUUAUUUUCAGUUUUGAUUAUAUUAUUGUUGCCAGACAUGUUUUAUAGCUAGCAUCAUAAAAAGCCAACCACCACCAACAACUAGCUAGCUAGCUAGGAAUAUAUAUAUAUAUGUGUAGCCAUGUUCUUUAUACCUAGCUAAGUCUCCAGUUUAUAUUUAAGUGACUAGCUAUUAGCUGCUGUAGCUAGCUAAUGCUAGCUUUAAACUAAAGAUUCCCAGUAUAUAUAUUCCCACAAAACACAUCAAACGUUAUUAACCCUGAAAAUUUUAAACAUUUUCCUGGGUUUUUUUUCGUUUGCGAAGUUCUUUUCCUCCAAAUAUUCUGAAAAUAAAGUUCAGAAAUUACUUAUUUUUAAAAUGUAAAUUUAAUUUGUUUCAAAUUGUGGGCAAAAACCUUAAUCAGCAUGCUAAAAGAACUGACUUUUCUUAAUUUAGAAUUACUAAACACAACCAUUUUCUUACAAUCAGUGUAAACUGUUGUGCGUAUGGCUUAUAUUUAAUACACCAAAAGAGCUACUUUGUUGAUUUCAAUUUUAUACUCUUUGUAAGCUAUUUUGUUCUUCUUUUUGACAUUUCUGUUUUACCACUCAAUUUUUACAUUUUAUAAGUUAUUUGGAACAGAAUGGUAUGAAAUAGACCAAAAUACCUGAUCUUAGUUGUUUUUAAUUUACAGGCUGUGUCUGUGAAACUUUAAGGGGAACAUUUGGUGGAAGACAAUGGCAUGACAUAUACUGAUAGAACUGAUUUUUGUUGUGUUAGAUGUUAUAUAUAUCUGAACCUUUUUGACAUUUUAUGUUAAUUUUGCGAGGAAGGACCAUAUAUAUAUACACAGAAGAAGAAUUCAAUUUUACACCUUGCAAGCUUUGUUUUUCUAAAUUUUGUAUAAAUUCUUACUGGGGAGGACUCCGUGCAAUAUAUCGAAAUGACUGAUCCUUCUCGAUUUAAAUUUGAUGUGUUCUAAAUCGUAUAUAGUUUUGGAAAUUUUGUGUAAGAUUUAAUGGGUAAGGGCUAGAUGCAAUAUGUCAAAAAAACUUUUUUUGUUGAAUCAGAAGCACUCCCUACAACCAUUCUUUUUUUUACAGUUUGUGAAGCUUUUGUGAGGAAAGAGUGUAUGCAAUAUUAUCGAAAUAACUGAUUUUUGUUGCAAACUGUUUUUCUUUGGCAUUUUGGAUUAAAAUAUUGUUUUAGAGGGCAUAUGCAGUAGAUAUAUGUACUGAAAUAGUUAAAUUUUGCAAACUUUGAUUUUGUCGUUACCUCUCAUUUUUUACAUUUUGAUUAAACUUUUGUGGGAGACCGUCGGUAUGCAAAGGACCAAAAUAAGAGAUUUUAGUAUUAUUUAGAAUUUGUAUUUUGUGUUGCAAAAUUGGUGCAAAAAUUGACAUAAAAUGAACUUAUAUACAGAUUGAUUGCUGUUGUUUAACAUGACUCAUUAUGACUUAUAUAUAUAUUUUAUGAAAAUUUGUGACAGAAUACUAUGUGAGAUUUGAAAUUUUGUUUACUUUAUUGAUGGUAAAACAGCAUGCAAAUUGCUAAAAGGACUUUAUUAAUUUUAGGUUUAAACACCGUUAUUUUGUUGGCAUUUUGUCUAAAGUUUGGUGAGGAGGGACUGUAUGCAAUAUAUCAAAUAAUGUUUUAUUGCAUUAUAAUUUGUCCUUGCAAAUCCCUUUUUUUACACCUUAGAUAAAAAAUUCUGUCAGAGGCACAAUUUAUUGUUUAUUUUUCACAUUGUGUGUCAACCUUUGGCAGGGUUUGCAAUAAACUAACUGAUUUUAACAUAUACAAUGAGAGAGAUUUGUGUUUGACAUUGAUCAGCUUUUUUGUAUAUAUGUGGCGUUUUAAGUGAUUUAAAUUUUAUGGGUGAGAUGUAUGUUGAAAUGCUUUUGGAAACUUCUUUCCGAAUAAUUUUCGCAUUUGUCAGAUGGUCAGAGCAAGUAAUUUUAGUAGAUUUAGAUUUUAAAUGUCACAUAAAUACUGCAGUUGUUGAAAACCUUUAAUUUUUUUGGUCAUUUAUAUAAUAAUGCAGAUGUAAGAUGCGCACUGCUGUAUUGUUUGUUUUUUGAUGGACAUUUAUCUGCUACAUAAAUUAAAUGGAAUACAGUGGAUUCUUCCACGGGAAACAGCUAGUUUUGGAUUAAUCCAAUUAAUUAUACGAUAUACUGAGUCAAUUGUGAUAUUAUUAUUCUUUUAGAUUAAUAGGAUAGAAUUGCAUCACUCAGUAUUUGUUCUUCUAGAUGUGUGAUACGAUAUACUGAGCGAGUUUUGAUCUUGUUAAUAUUUUGGAUUGAUAGGAUAGAAUUGCAUCACUCAGUAUUUGUUCAGAUAGAUAUGUGACACCAAAUACUGAGUGAGUUGUGAUCUUAUUAUUAUUAUGGAUUGAAAGGAUAGAAUUGCAUCACUCAGUAUUUGUUCUUAUAGAUGUGUGAUACCAAAUACUGAGUAAGUUGUGAUCUUAUUAUUAUUAUGGAUUGAUAGGAUAGAAUUGCAUCACUCAGUAUUUGUUCAUUUAGAUGUGUGACACCAAAUACUGAGUGAGUUGUGAUCUUAUUAUUAUUAUGGAUUGAUAAGAUAGAAUUGCAUCACUCAGUAUUUGUUCAUAUAGAUAUGUGACACCAAAUACUGAGUGAGUUGUGAUCUUAUUAUUAUUAUGGAUUGAUAGGAUAGAAUUGCAUCACUCAGUAUUUGUUCUUAUAGAUGUGUGAUACCAAAUACUGAGUGAGUUGUGAUCUUAUUAUUAUUAUGGAUUGAUAGGAUAGAAUUGCAUUACUCAGUAUUUGUUCAUUUAGAUGUGUGACACAAAAUACUGAGUGAGUUGUGAUCUUAUUAUUAUUUUGCUUAUUGAAAUUUCUGUUUUUGUCAAACGAAUUUUUUCUGGAGAAAGGACAGAGAACUUCUGGAAGCUCCUUUAAUUUAUUUUUUUGGAAAUAAGUGGCCACUCUGGAGUAACUUAAAUACGAGAAGAUCAAAUAAAAUGUAAAUUAUUAAAUUGUACCCUCCAAAUGUUUUAACCGUUCAUAUGGAAAUUGGUAGAACCGUUGGAAAUUGUUAAAAAUAUGUCGCCAUUGUUACGUCAGCGUGCAGCAAGAUUAAUUAUACUUGAAAAGAAUGGCGUCAAAUACUGUUUUCAAUAAACGAAGAAAGUGUCCAAAUUGUUACAUAUUUUUUUCCAUAAAAGCCUUCUUGCUUGUCAACUACCGUGUCCGACCAACAAUACGUACGAAAACUCAUUUGCAAUCCUAUUUUUAUGCAGCUACUUGUAUUAUAGGACGACAGAUUUAUGUAAAUUGACAGGUAGACCUAAUUGCAACGCACGACAUGGUCUACAGACGGUAUCCUACAUUGGGGCAAAUUUGUGUGAUGUGCUUCCGGUAUAAAGGAAGCUGAAAGUCUGAACUCAUUUUCUUCACAGCCUGAAGUCUUAUUAUUUUUAUUAGAUCUAUUUAUUUUUAUAUCGUCAUUUUAGCCAAGUGUAGUCGUACACUUCUAUCAAAUCCUAUACAUGACUUCAUACAAGAGGUGACAUUUCCAUUUGUAUCCUUUUAAUUGACGUUAAAUAAAUUUAUGUCUGUUUACUCUGUUAUACCUGGGAUUCUGUGACACAACUCGGUUGGCACAAUUUGCAAGCGUAAAUCCAGAUGCGACAACGUCAAAUGUGUUGAGUCCUCAAUGUAUUCGUUUAGGAAGUUAUAGAGAAAAAAAUUGACGAG